AUUGAACGCUGGCGGCAUGCCUUACACAUGCAAGUCGAACGGCAGCACGGGUGCUUGCACCUGGUGGCGAGUGGCGAACGGGUGAGUAAUACAUCGGAACGUACCUUAUCGUGGGGGAUAACGCAGCGAAAGCUGUGCUAAUACCGAAUACGCCCGGAGGGGGAAAGCGGGGGACCGAAAGACCUCGCGCGAUUAGAGAGCCCGAUGCCUGAUUAGCUUGUGGGUGGGGUAGAAGCCCACCAAGGCGACGAGCAGUAGCUGGUCUGAGAGGACGAUCAGCCACACUGGGACUGAGACACGGCCCAGACUCCUACGGGAGGCAGCAGUGGGGAAUUUUGGACAAUGGGGGCAACCCUGAUCCAGCAAUGCCGCGUGAGUGAAGAAGGCCUUCGGGUUGUAAAGCUCUUUUGUCAGGGAAGAAACACCGGCUCUAACACAGUCCGGGAAUGACGGUACCUGAAGAAUAAGCACCGGCUAACUACGUGCCAGCCGCCGCCGUAA
RNAcentral lists this ribosomal RNA (501 nucleotides) under uncultured bacterium. RNAcentral's name for it is "partial 16S ribosomal RNA". It matches the Rfam family "Bacterial small subunit ribosomal RNA", at positions 29 to 523 of the family's 1533-position model. The record is from RNAcentral.